UCCCUCAAUUAAAUCAAUUUAAAUAUGGUAAUUAGUCCAAUUUGGCAAAAGAAACCUGCAAGAACAUGGCUAAAGCAAGCAAGAAACGAAAUUUCACUGAAAACGAAUUAGAGGUGCUACUAUCAGAGGUAGAAACAAGAAAAAAUAUUUUAUUUGGAAAUCUGUCCUCUGGAAUUAAUAACAAAAGAAAGAAAAAAGAGUGGGCGAGUUUGUCUGAUGCCGUCAACGCGGUGGGAUCUGAGAGUCGCACCGUAAAUGAACUGAAGAAGAAAUGGUCAGACAUAAAGGUGGAAGUUAAGCGGAGAACUGCUGCGCACCGACAAAGUGUGGGCAGAACAGGCGGUGGUACAGGGACCGAUGAACUUGCACCCUUUGAUCAGAGAGUUGCCUCUAUUGUAGGAGACACGUUAAUCUCUGGAAUCGUAUAUCCGCUGAUGUAGGAGACUCGGAUAUACUACAGGACUGCCAGCAAGGAACCGCAGGAACGUCCACUGGCACGCACUCAGAGUCCGCACCACCUGAGCAGCCAGAGCCCAUUCAGUCCAGCGUCUCCCGUGUCUCUAAUGUUCCCCCCAGUGCUGAAGCCCGUCCAUCUGGCCGUGUCUUGACGCAUGCUGUUCUGGAGUCACAACAACAAAUUGUUAGGGCCAUUGAAGAAAUGAACAGUCACCUUAAAAAUGUCACUGACGCACUCACAGAAAUAAGCCAUUCAUUAAAAGAAUUGGUCAAAAAAUGAA
This is a long non-coding RNA of Coregonus clupeaformis (lake whitefish), 737 nucleotides long. RefSeq lists it as uncharacterized. The record is from RefSeq and is a predicted model, not a curated record. Lineage: Eukaryota; Metazoa; Chordata; Actinopteri; Salmoniformes; Salmonidae. The transcript has 2 exons.